Molecule: unclassified non-coding RNA, 399 nt
Filed under: soil metagenome
Description: partial contains 5.8S ribosomal RNA, internal transcribed spacer 2, and large subunit ribosomal RNA
Rfam family: 5.8S ribosomal RNA (bases 1-120)
Source: RNAcentral
GAUGAAGAACGCAGCGAAAUGCGAUAAGUAAUGUGAAUUGCAGAAUUCAGUGAAUCAUCGAAUCUUUGAACGCACCUUGCGCUCCUUGGUAUUCCGAGGAGCAUGCCUGUUUGAGUGUCAUUAUAAUUAUCAAUCAUUUCAGUUAGUCUUUGUGAACUGAUUUGACUUGGAUAUAUGGGAGUUUGCGAGCUUCAUACAAGUUGGCUCUCCUUAAAUGCAUUAGCAAAAAGGGCCUUGAUGCUUGACCUUUCCACUGUGAUAAUUAUCUACAUUGUUAAGGCAGCAUUUGUUGUAAAAGGUCCAGCUUCAAAUUGUCUAUUUGUGACAACUGUUAAAAUCUUUUGACCUCAAAUCAGGUAGGACUACCCGCUGAACUUAAGCAUAUCAAUAAGCGGAGGA